UCAUUGGUGAAGUGGUAUCACGGCGGUCUCCAAAACCGCAGUCCGAAGUUCGAUUCUUCGAUGAU
This 65-nucleotide transfer RNA is filed under the name Neomicrococcus aestuarii. Its description in RNAcentral is "tRNA-Trp". It matches the Rfam family "tRNA". From Rfam's summary of the family: Transfer RNA (tRNA) molecules are approximately 80 nucleotides in length. Lineage: Bacteria; Bacillati; Actinomycetota; Actinomycetes; Micrococcales; Micrococcaceae. The record is from RNAcentral.